UGCUCAGACGAACGCUGGCGGCGUGCUUAACACAUGCAAGUCGAACGGAAAGGCCUUCGGGGUACUCGAGUGGCGAACGGGUGAGUAACACGUGGGUGAUCUGCCUGCACUUUGGGAUAAGCUGGGAAACUGGGUCUAAUACCGAAUAGGAUCAUGGCCUUCAUGGGUUGUGGUGGAAAGCUUUUGCGGUGUGGGAUGGGCCCGCGGCCUAUCAGCUUGUUGGUGGGGUAAUGGCCUACCAAGGCGACGACGGGUAGCCGGCCUGAGAGGGUGACCGGCCACACUGGGACUGAGAUACGGCCCAGACUCCUACGGGAGGCAGCAGUGGGGAAUAUUGCACAAUGGGCGCAAGCCUGAUGCAGCGACGCCGCGUGAGGGAUGACGGCCUUCGGGUUGUAAACCUCUUUCACCAGGGACGAAGCGCAAGUGACGGUACCUGGAGAAGAAGCACCGGCCAACUACGUGCCAGCAGCCGCGGUAAUACGUAGGGUGCGAGCGUUGUCCGGAAUUACUGGGCGUAAAGAGCUCGUAGGUGGUUUGUCGCGUUGUUCGUGAAAACUCACAACUCAAUUGUGGGCGUGCGGGCGAUACGGGCAGACUAGAGUACUGCAGGGGAGACUGGAAUUCCUGGUGUAGCGGUGGAAUGCGCAGAUAUCAGGAGGAACACCGGUGGCGAAGGCGGGUCUCUGGGCAGUAACUGACGCUGAGGAGCGAAAGCGUGGGGAGCGAACAGGAUUAGAUACCCUGGUAGUCCACGCCGUAAACGGUGGGUACUAGGUGUGGGUUCCUUCCUUGGGAUCCGUGCCGUAGCUAACGCAUUAAGUACCCCGCCUGGGGAGUACGGCCGCAAGGCUAAAACUCAAAGGAAUUGACGGGGGCCCGCACAAGCGGCGGAGCAUGUGGAUUAAUUCGAUGCAACGCGAAGAACCUUACCUGGGUUUGACAUGCACAGGACGCCAGUAGAGAUAUUGGUUCCCUUGUGGCCUGUGUCCAG
Molecule: ribosomal RNA, 994 nt
Filed under: Mycolicibacterium aubagnense
Lineage: Bacteria; Bacillati; Actinomycetota; Actinomycetes; Mycobacteriales; Mycobacteriaceae
Description: bacterial SSU rRNA
Rfam family: Bacterial small subunit ribosomal RNA
Source: RNAcentral